GACGAACGCUGGCGGCGUGCUUAACACAUGCGAGUCGAACGGAAAGGCCCUGCUUUUGUGGGGUGCUCGAGUGGCGAACGGGUGAGUAACACGUGAGUAACCUGCCCUUGACUUUGGGAUAACUUCAGGAAACUGGGGCUAAUACCGGAUAGGAGCUCCUGCUGCAUGGUGGGGGUUGGAAAGUUUCGGCGGUUGGGGAUGGACUCGCGGCUUAUCAGCUUGUUGGUGGGGUAGUGGCUUACCAAGGCUUUGACGGGUAGCCGGCCUGGGAGGGUGACCGGCCACAUUGGGCCUGAGGUAGGGACCAGACUCCUACGGGAGGCAGCAGUGGGGAAUCUUGCACAAUGGGCGGAAGCCUGAUGCAGCAACGCCGCGUGCGGGAUGCCGGCCUUCGGGUUGUAAACCGCUUUCGCCUGUGACGAAGCGUGAGUGACGGUAAUGGGUAAAGAAGCACCGGCUAACUACGUG
RNAcentral lists this ribosomal RNA (468 nucleotides) under uncultured bacterium. RNAcentral describes it as "partial 16S ribosomal RNA". It matches the Rfam family "Bacterial small subunit ribosomal RNA", at positions 28 to 507 of the family's 1533-position model. The record is from RNAcentral.